RNAcentral lists this ribosomal RNA (253 nucleotides) under uncultured bacterium. RNAcentral's name for it is "partial 16S ribosomal RNA". It matches the Rfam family "Bacterial small subunit ribosomal RNA", at positions 524 to 776 of the family's 1533-position model. The record is from RNAcentral.
UACGUAGGGGGCAAGCGUUGUCCGGAAUCAUUGGGCGUAAAGCGCGCGUAGGCGGCCCGGUAAGUCCGCUGUGAAAGUCCAAGGCUCAACCUUGGAAUGCGGGUGGAUACUGCCGGGCUAGAGUCCGGAAGAGGCGAGUGGAAUUCCUGGUGUAGCGGUGGAAUGCGCAGAUAUCAGGAGGAACACCGAUGGCGAAGGCAGGUCUCUGGGCCACUACUGACGCUGAGAAGCGAAAGCAUGGGGAGCGAACAGG